Molecule: transfer RNA, 69 nt
Filed under: Mimachlamys senatoria
Lineage: Eukaryota; Metazoa; Mollusca; Bivalvia; Pectinida; Pectinidae
Description: tRNA-Ala
Source: RNAcentral
UGCUCCUUGGUGAUAAGUUUAACAUUUCUGGUUUGCAACUAGAGGAUGAGAGGUAUCUCUCAGGAGCAU